UACGUAGGGACCGAGCGUUGUCCGGAUUCAUUGGGCGUAAAGAGCUCGUAGGCGGCUACUCAAGUCGGACGUGAAAACUCGGAGCUCAACUCCGAGCCUGCGUUCGAUACUGGAUGGCUAGAGUCUGGUAGGGGGAUCUGGAAUUCCUGGUGUAGCGGUGGAAUGCGCAGAUAUCAGGAGGAACACCGGUGGCGAAGGCGGCAUCCUGGACCGGCAUUGACGCUGAGGAGCGAAAGCCAGGGGAGCAAACGGG
RNAcentral lists this ribosomal RNA (253 nucleotides) under uncultured bacterium. RNAcentral describes it as "partial 16S ribosomal RNA". It matches the Rfam family "Bacterial small subunit ribosomal RNA", at positions 524 to 776 of the family's 1533-position model. The record is from RNAcentral.